Molecule: ribosomal RNA, 530 nt
Filed under: Onychargia atrocyana
Lineage: Eukaryota; Metazoa; Arthropoda; Insecta; Odonata; Platycnemididae
Description: partial 16S ribosomal RNA
Rfam family: Bacterial large subunit ribosomal RNA
Source: RNAcentral
GUCUUCUUGUUUUAUUUGGGAAGUCAGGCCUGCCCAGUGAUUGUUUUAACGGCCGCGGUAUUUUGACCGUGCAAAGGUAGCAUAAUCAUUAGUCUUUUAAUAGGAGGCUGGAAUGAAAGGUUUAACGAAACAUAAGCUGUCUCGUUUUUAUAACAUAUAAUUUAAUUUUUAAGUUAAAAAGCUUAACUUUUAUUGAAGGACGAGAAGACCCUAUAGAGCUUUACACUUACUUUUUUAGUACAAUUUGGUGUAUAGGUUUUUACUAUUUUUGUAAUUGUUUUGUUGGGGUGACAAAAAUAUAUGCGAAACUUUUUUAUUUUAUAAACAUAAAAUUUAUGGGUUUUAGAUCCAUUAUUAUUGAUUGUUAGAUUAAGUUACCUUAGGGAUAACAGCGUAAUCUUCUUUUGAAGUUCAAAUUUACAAGAAGGCUUGCGACCUCGAUGUUGGAUUAAGAUGAUUAUUAGGUGCAGUAGCUUAAUUAAUAGGUCUGUUCGACCUUUAAAAUCUUACAUGAUCUGAGUUCAGACCGG